This is a long non-coding RNA of Polypterus senegalus (gray bichir), 850 nucleotides long. RefSeq lists it as uncharacterized. NCBI's taxonomy places the organism in Eukaryota, Metazoa, Chordata, Cladistia, Polypteriformes, Polypteridae. The record is from RefSeq and is a predicted model, not a curated record. The transcript is spliced from 3 exons.
CAUCUGCAGCGGGGGUAGGUUGUGGUCAGUACAAGCAGAUCACUAAAAAAAGGCCAGACUCGGUAGCUGUUAGUCUCCUAGCAGAAAAAUCCCAUCAUUCUCUGCAUUCUUAACACAUUCAGGACUCAGAUUUCAGUCUACCGGCAGAGCUUCAGGAAAAGUGUGGGGGUGGAAUCUUGGGCUGACUGCACUGGAAAAGCUGCUGCUUUCUGCAGAUUUGAAUUUUAGUGAGGCAGCCAUCUACCAACCAUGCUAUACUGAUUAUUGCAGCCAAACAUGUGACCAGAGAGGGGAAGUAGCAGUGGUAACCACUGUGCCACCAUGAAAUAAAAUUAUAUUUGGAGCCCACAAUAAUCAGAGUCUCAUGAAUCCAUCAGGAUCAACAGAAAAUAAGGAUUCAGUACUACAAGGCAACAUGGUGUUCCUCCCAAAGGUCAUCAACCCCUCACAUCUUACCUGCCAGAACACAAUGAAAGAGUGGAUUAGUGGUUCAAACCCAAACCAGAACAAGGAGUGAACAAAACUUUCUUAUAACUAUGUGCAUGUAUUAGUAUUCCUCUAUUCAGAGCUCUUGUACUAUCUGUAACACAGACAUCAUAGUGUACCUCUGCAAUAUUUUGCGGUUAUAUCUUAAGUGCAGGUAUAUGUUGUGAAAUGUUUGGUCAUUUUUUUGUUACAUUUCUACAUGGUAACAUAUAAAUUACUGCUAAAUAAUAUCUACUCUAACUUGAAGUGAAAAAAUAUUGUGCUUGUGUAGGUGAUACAAUGCAAGCGUAAUGAGCUUCCUGGUAAAAAAUAAACCCACUUCUUUAACGCAGAAAACUCCAUCAGAAAAAUGCAUACCUUCACC